This 29-nucleotide non-coding RNA is filed under the name Mus musculus (house mouse). Lineage: Eukaryota; Metazoa; Chordata; Mammalia; Rodentia; Muridae. The record is from RNAcentral.
UGCCAAGGUUUAGGACAGCCAUGCUGAGC